Molecule: ribosomal RNA, 253 nt
Filed under: uncultured prokaryote
Description: partial 16S ribosomal RNA
Rfam family: Bacterial small subunit ribosomal RNA
Source: RNAcentral
UACGUAGGUGGCAAGCGUUGUCCGGAUUUAUUGGGCGUAAAGCGAGCGCAGGCGGAAAAAGAAGUCUGAUGUGAAAGCCCUCGGCUCAACCGAGGGAUUGCAUCGGAAACUGAUUUUCUUGAGUGCAGAAGAGGAGAGUGGAACUCCAUGUGUAGCGGUGGAAUGCGUAGAUAUAUGGAAGAACACCAGUGGCGAAAGCGGCUCUCUGGUCUGUCACUGACGCUGAGGCUCGAAAGCAUGGGUAGCAAACAGG